Brassica oleracea var. oleracea is the source of this 417-nucleotide long non-coding RNA. RefSeq lists it as uncharacterized. NCBI's taxonomy places the organism in Eukaryota, Viridiplantae, Streptophyta, Magnoliopsida, Brassicales, Brassicaceae. The transcript is spliced from 2 exons. The record is from RefSeq and is a predicted model, not a curated record.
UCUAGACUCUUCAUGUCUCUCUCUUAUCCAUGCGAAAUCUUAGCUCUCAAUCGGUUCUCUUUCUCCUUUCCGGUGAGCGGUGUCGCAACCACCGUCGACGUAACCAGUACUCACAGCCUUGCUGGUACGCUCUAAAUAAGGAUCACUCAGCAGGAUUGUAAUUGGAUAAUGAUGAAUUGAAGGGUCGCACAAAAGUUGCACAAGGCUGUUGAUAUUUCCGAACUCUGGUUCUUGCUUGAUAAGACACACAAGUCUAACAAAAAGGAGGUUGUUUACUUGGACAUUACGCACCAUGUGAUGUGAUUAUAAUUUUAUAUUAGCAAUGGCCAAAGAAAGACUUAAAGUUUUGUGGAAAACUAGAAACUUAGAAAACACAAACAAAGAUUAAGACUUUUGACCAUAAAUAAGUGUGUUGUU